UUCAUGACUCUCGGCAACGGAUAUCUUGGCUCUCGCAUCGAUGAAGAACGUAGCGAAAUGCGAUACUUGGUGCGAAUUGCAGAAUUUCGUGAACCAUCGAGUCUUUGAACGCAAGUUGCGCCCGAGGCGAUCUGGCCAAGGGCACGCCUGCUUGGGCGUCACG
RNAcentral lists this ribosomal RNA (163 nucleotides) under Griffinia nocturna. Its description in RNAcentral is "5.8S ribosomal RNA". It matches the Rfam family "5.8S ribosomal RNA". From Rfam's summary of the family: 5.8S ribosomal RNA (5.8S rRNA) is a component of the large subunit of the eukaryotic ribosome. It is transcribed by RNA polymerase I as part of the 45S precursor that also contains 18S and 28S rRNA. The record is from RNAcentral. Lineage: Eukaryota; Viridiplantae; Streptophyta; Magnoliopsida; Asparagales; Amaryllidaceae.